CUCUGUCGUGCUGGGGAUAGAGCAUUGCAAUUAUUGCUCUUCAACGAGGAAUCCCUAGUAAGCGCAAGUCAUCAGCUUGCGUUGAUUACGUCCCUGCCCUUUGUACACACCGCCCGUCGCUACUACCGAUUGAAUGGCUCAGUGAGGCUUUCGGACUGAUCUAAGGGAGGAGGCAACUCUUCCCCCUGGUCGGAAAGUUAUCCAAACUCGGUCAUUUAGAGGAAGUAAAAGUCGUAACAAGGUCUCCGUUGGUGAACCAGCGGAGGGAUCAUUACUGAGUUUACGCUCUACAACCCUUUGUGAACAUACCUAUAACUGUUGCUUCGGCGGGUAGGGUCUCCGCGACCCUCCCGGCCUCCCGCCCCCGGGCGGGUCGGCGCCCGCCGGAGGAUAACCAAACUCUGAUUUAACGACGUUUCUUCUGAGUGGUACAAGCAAAUAAUCAAAACUUUUAACAACGGAUCUCUUGGUUCUGGCAUCGAUGAAGAACGCAGCGAAAUGCGAUAAGUAAUGUGAAUUGCAGAAUUCAGUGAAUCAUCGAAUCUUUGAACGCACAUUGCGCCCGCCAGCAUUCUGGCGGGCAUGCCUGUUCGAGCGUCAUUUCAACCCUCAAGCUCUGCUUGGUGUUGGGGCCCUACAGCCGAUGUAGGCCCUCAAAGGUAGUGGCGGACCCUCCCGGAGCCUCCUUUGCGUAGUAACUUUACGUCUCGCACUGGGAUCCGGAGGGACUCUUGCCGUAAAACCCCCCAAUUUCCAAAGGUGACCUCGGAUCAGGUAUGA
This 780-nucleotide ribosomal RNA is filed under the name Glomerellales sp. DZJ08. RNAcentral's name for it is "eukaryotic LSU rRNA". The stretch from base 1 to 274 matches the Rfam family "Eukaryotic small subunit ribosomal RNA", at positions 1560 to 1831 of the family's 1831-position model. The record is from RNAcentral. Lineage: Eukaryota; Fungi; Ascomycota; Sordariomycetes; Glomerellales.